Molecule: non-coding RNA, 319 nt
Organism: Prunus avium (sweet cherry)
Lineage: Eukaryota; Viridiplantae; Streptophyta; Magnoliopsida; Rosales; Rosaceae
Source: RefSeq, a predicted model, not a curated record
GAGACUUUGCAUGGUGAUAUGGUUGCUCCUAGUAUAUCUGCAGCAGAUGAACAGAGAGAACGAAUGAAAGCUAGCAGAUUUAAGGUCCUUGAGAAAGAUGCAGCUAGGCGCCGCCAAUUGCAGGUGGCUUGAGGUUCUGUUUUUCUUCUGUCGUGUUCUAAAUUAUGUUUCAUUGUGUUGAGCUGUGGAUGGCAAUUGAACUCAUGGAUAUAGGCAUCAAGGCAGAACCUUCUGUCUUGAUAUUCUUUCUUUGUACAACAAAGUUUUUUUGUCAUAUUUACACAACUCGAUCUCUUUAAUAGUUGAUCCAUUACCAAUA